Molecule: transfer-messenger RNA, 368 nt
Filed under: Isoptericola cucumis
Lineage: Bacteria; Bacillati; Actinomycetota; Actinomycetes; Micrococcales; Promicromonosporaceae
Rfam family: transfer-messenger RNA
About the family: Bacterial tmRNA, also known as 10Sa RNA or SsrA, is named for its dual tRNA and mRNA-like properties. Its role is to liberate the mRNA from a stalled ribosome.
Source: RNAcentral
GGGGCUGAUCGGUUUCGACGGUGGUCGUGCUUCGUGGAGAAGCGGGCCGAGGAUGCAGGCUCAUCUCGUUAACGACUUGCCUGCACAUCUAUAGGUGCCGAUAACAAGCGCACCGACUUCGCACUCGCCGCCUGAGCGAGUCCUGAAGUCCGUCGGCCCGGGGAUGCUCUCGCCCCGGUCGCCGGCGUCGACUAGAGAGCCACUGCUCGUAGCCUCCGUCAUCGGGGCUCCGGGGACUUCUAGAUGACUGGGCCCGUCCGCACCUUGUCUGCGUGAGUGCGGGGGCCGAGAAAAGCACAGCAGACUGCGCCCGGAGAAGUACACGAAAAGCGUCACCGGACCCGGGUUCGAUUCCCGGCAGCUCCACC